UUCUGGUUGAUCCUGCCGGACCUGACUGCUAUCGGAUUGAUACUAAGCCAUGCGAGUCUUUGUAGUAAUACAAGGCAGACGGCUCAGUAACACGUAGUCAACCUACCCUAUGGACGAGAAUAAUCUCGGGAAACUGAGCAUAAUUCUUGAUAGAUCAUAAUGCCUGGAAUGGUUUAUGGUUAAAAUGAUUCGUCGCCAUAGGAUGGGACUGCGGCCUAUCAGCUUGUUGGUGAGGUAAUGGCCCACCAAGGCGAUUACAGGUACGGGCUCUGAGAGGAGAAGCCCGGAGAUGGGUACUGAGACACGGACCCAGGCCCUAUGGGGCGCAGCAGGCGAGAAAACUUUGCAAUGUGCGAAAGCACGACAAGGUUAAUCCGAGUGAUUUCUGCUAAAGAAAUCUUUUACCAGUCGUAAAACCGCUGGUGAAUAAGGGGUGGGCAAGUUCUGGUGUCAGCCGCCGCGGUAAAACCAGCACCUCAAGUGGUCAGGAUGAUUAUUGGGCCUAAAGCAUCCGUAGCCGGCUUUGUAAGUUUUCGGUUAAAUCCAUGUGCUCAACGCAUGGGCUGCCGAAAAUACUGCAUAGCUAGGGAGUGGAAGAGGUAGACGGUACUCAGUAGGUAGGGGUAAAAUCCUUUGAUCUAUUGAUGACCACCUGUGGCGAAGGCGGUCUACCAGAACACGUUCGACGGUGAGGGAUGAAAGCUGGGGGAGCAAACCGGAUUAGAUACCCGGGUAGUCCCAGCUGUAAACGAUGCAGACUCGAUGAUGCAUUGGCAUAAUAGCCAUUGCAGUGUCGCAGGGAAGCCGUUAAGUCUGCCGCCUGGGAAGUACGUACGCAAGUAUGAAACUUAAAGGAAUUGGCGGGGGAGCACCACAAGGGGUGAAGCCUGCGGUUCAAUUGG
Molecule: ribosomal RNA, 902 nt
Filed under: uncultured archaeon
Lineage: Archaea
Description: bacterial SSU rRNA
Rfam family: Archaeal small subunit ribosomal RNA
Source: RNAcentral